RNAcentral lists this ribosomal RNA (468 nucleotides) under uncultured bacterium. Its description in RNAcentral is "partial 16S ribosomal RNA". It matches the Rfam family "Bacterial small subunit ribosomal RNA", at positions 28 to 507 of the family's 1533-position model. The record is from RNAcentral.
GACGAACGCUGGCGGCGUGCUUAACACAUGCAAGUCGAACGGAAAGGCCCUGCUUUUGUGGGGUGCUCGAGUGGCGAACGGGUGAGUAACACGUGAGUAACCUGCCCUUGACUUUGGGAUAACUUCAGGAAACUGGGGCUAAUACCGGCUAGGAGCUCCGGCUGCAUGGUGGGGGUUGGAAAGUUUCGGCGGUUGGGGAUGGACUCUCGGCUUAUCAGCUUGUUGGUGGGGUAGUGGCUUACCAAGGCUUUGACGGGUAGCCGGCCUGAGAGGGUGACCGGCCACAUUGGGACUGAGAGACGGCCCAGACUCCUACGGGAGGCAGCAGUGGGGAAUAUUGCACAAUGGGCGGAAGCCUGAUGCAGCAACGCCGCGUGCGGGAUGACGGCCUUCGGGUUGUAAACCGCUUUCGCCUGUGACGAAGCGUGAGUGACGGUAAUGGGUAAAGAAGCACCGGCUAACUACGUG